AAAUAUCAAACGUAAGAUUCUUAUCAUUUGUUUUUUUAUUUAUUUAUUUUUUUUUCAUUUCUUUUUGUUGUUCCUUUUUAUUAUGAUCGUUUGAUUAUUAAAAAAUAAAUCAUCAUUUUUUAUACCUAUUAUUUUUAUUAAUCAAAGAGCUCCAUCUUUGUAACUUUCGAAUGCCCGACGAUAAACACUACGCUGAUCUUUUAGAUAUUAGAACGAAACUGUACUAUGAUACUAUGAAAAGAAUAACAAUGAAAUUUUUAUCGUUAUGUUUUUAUUAAUCAUUUUAUUACCCAUUGAUUAUUUUUAUCGACAGGUAAUUCUUCGUAUAAAUUUUGAUAAGUUCGAUUAAUUAAACAUUUCAUUGACUCUAUCUCGCAAGCUCACUGAAAUUUCAAUUUUGACGUUGAUAUAUACCAAAUACAUUGUUAUUUUCACGUAACAAAAUAAUACAUAAUACAAGAUAUUUAUCGAUUAAACGUUAAUCAUAUUGGUCUUUUACGUAAUAAAUAAAUAAAUAAAUAAAUAAAUAAAUAAUCGUAAGUAUCAUUAAUUUUUUAUAACAUUUUUACGUUAUUUAUUAACGUUGAUUACUUUAAACACUUGUACAUAUGUACGUAGUUAAUAAACGUUGAUACUCUUCAUCCGGUAUCUCUUCUAGUCUUUGAACCAAGGAAUUUGAGAAGACGGAAGUCGUGAGUAUAGAGUAAAAAAAAAAAAGAAAUCGUUAAAAUAACAACGUAAUUGAAUUAAUACGUCGUCUAUAUACGAAUUUCCUAUCGAUGGUAAAAUAAAUGAGAGACAAACGCGAAAAGAUUCUUUAACAUUUCUUUUUUGAGGUUAAAUAGGGAUUCUCGUACUUGAGAAAAUGUUAAGAACCACUGACCUGCAUAUACAUACAUAUGUACGUAACAUACAUACAUAUGUAUCUUCUUAGCUUUUCUUAGGUACGUCGCUAAUAAUAAUAAUAAAAUCGACGUUUUAUAUAAAAAGAACAUUAAGGAUCAAAGAAAUAUGUUAACUUUUGUACGAGCAACGACCGAGCAAAGCAACGAACAGUGAAAUCGAUCGAAAUACGGAUUUCGAGUAACUCCGAGAGAAAGAAAGAGAGAGAGAGGGUGAGUGAGUGAGUGAGAGAGAGAGAGAGAGAGAGAGAGAGAGAGAGAGAGAGAAUGGGGAGAGGGAAUAUAGGUAUAAAAGAAAUAUUAUUAUUAUUUACCAUUAUACUCUCGAUUCAAACGUUUGUAUACACAUCAUAUGACCUACACACGUAUGUACGCAAAGAGGGAUCGUGUUCGCUGUAAUACGACGUAAAAUCAGGUAAAUAAAUAUGAAAAAGUUAAUAUUUUCGUCGUUGUGGUAGUUCUUCCUACGUAAACAGUCGAUUCGUAACCUACAUUCUAUCUCGGACCGUGAUAAGAGUCUGACGUAACAAGUGUUCAGAAAUUAGCCCCUUUUUAAAAGGUACAUUCGCGUUUUCUAGGCAAAAGAGUAAGAGGAGAAGAGAAAGAGGAAGCGAAAGAUAAAGAGAAAGAGAAAGAAGAGUGGGAGAUUGGAGAAGUAGAGGUAAUAGAAGGAGCAAAAGAAGUAGUAGUAGUACUAGAAGAGGAAGAAGGAAGAAGUAGAAGAGCAUACAAACAUAAUUAAACCAUGAUGAUGCAUCCAUCGUUAAACUGUUAUUGCAUCAAGAGUUAUCAGAGGGUUGAGUCUUUGAACUACAUUUUCAAGGAUUCCAACGUUGUCAAGAGCCC
Long non-coding RNA from Vespa crabro (European hornet), 1748 nucleotides. RefSeq lists it as uncharacterized. The transcript has 3 exons. Lineage: Eukaryota; Metazoa; Arthropoda; Insecta; Hymenoptera; Vespidae. The record is from RefSeq and is a predicted model, not a curated record.